UACGUAGGGUGCGAGCGUUAAUCGGAAUUACUGGGCGUAAAGAGCGUGUAGGCGGUUUGGUGGGUCCGCUGUGAAAACUCGAGGCUCAACCUCGAGACGCCGGUGGAAACCAUCAGACUAGAGUCCGGAAGAGGAGAGUGGAAUUCCUGGUGUAGCGGUGAAAUGCGCAGAUAUCAGGAAGAACACCCGUGGCUAAGGCGGCUCUCUAGUACGGUACUGACGCUGAGACGCGAAAGCGUGGGGAGCGAACAGG
This 253-nucleotide ribosomal RNA is filed under the name uncultured bacterium. Its description in RNAcentral is "partial 16S ribosomal RNA". It matches the Rfam family "Bacterial small subunit ribosomal RNA", at positions 524 to 776 of the family's 1533-position model. The record is from RNAcentral.